UCCCAACACUGCAAAUAGAUCCGUACAUACUAAAUUGUCUCGAGUUUUUAGGGCUAAAGCACAUACACUUACCACAUAACUUAAAACUGUGGACAGGGGUAACACUGAGUAUCCACCCAAGGUUGUUAUUAUUAUUAUAAAGGAAAGAGCCUGAGUUUUAGUAUGUGUUAGUCUGGUAAAGAUUCUAUUGAUACUUGCCUGCCUACAAGAAAUGUUGCCUCUGACUCUCCACUUCAUAGAAUAAUAAUGUAAAAGACACUGAAACAAAUAAAACUAAACAUUCCACUCUGGAAGCUGACUGAAACUAAAUUCAAUUAAAAGCAAAAAGUCCAAAUAAUAAAAUAUGAAAAUGAAAAACUCUAAUAACUCUGGUGUCCACCACUGGAACAGCAUUCAUGACAUCAAAUAAGGGGAGGUACAAAAGGUCCACUUUCCACCAGCAUGUGGAUUAAGAGGGGAGAAAAAGAAUAAAACCUGGUAUUAUUUUAUUAGUAAUGCUGAGGACCUUUCACUUAAACUAUAACACACCCAGUAAGGUUAAUGCUAAACUUCCCAAAUUUUCAAAACAAAAGUUAACAAACUGCAGUCAUCCCACUUACCUGGAAUCCAAAAUGUAUUAGAUAAUAUUUGGCCUCUAUUGUACUGUUCUGGAACUGUAGAUUGUAACUGGUCCUUGCAUGCUUAAAACCCCAUUUGUUUCCUAAAUGCCUUUUUAUUUUCUUCCAGGGAAAUCCCAGUCAGGUCUGGAUAUCCCCCUUAACCAAGAAUUAAUUGAAAAAGUUACAGAGGAAUACAACAAGUCUCUGGUGUUCAGCCCAGAUGACAACCGUUUGUUCUACAGCGUCAGGGAGCCCAUCGUGAACAGGGUCUUCUCCAGCAGUCGACAGAGAGGCUUUGCCACAAAGUUGUGUGUCCG
Neolamprologus brichardi is the source of this 916-nucleotide non-coding RNA. NCBI's taxonomy places the organism in Eukaryota, Metazoa, Chordata, Actinopteri, Cichliformes, Cichlidae. The record is from RefSeq and is a predicted model, not a curated record.